CCUACGGGUGGCAGCAGUGGGGAAUUUUGGACAAUGGGCGAAAGCCUGAUCCAGCAAUGCCGCGUGAGUGAAGAAGGCCUUCGGGUUGUAAAGCUCUUUUGUUUGGGAAGAAAUCCCUAAGGAUAAUACCCUUGGGGGAUGACGGUACCAAAAGAAUAAGCACCGGCUAACUACGUGCCAGCAGCCGCGGUAAGACGUAGGGAGCAAGCGGUAAUCGGAAGUACUGGGCGGAAUGUGUGCGCAGGGGGUGACAUCCCCGAGCUCAACUUGGGAACUGCACUUGUGACUGCAAGACUAGAGUGUGUCAGAGGGAGGUAGAAUUCCACGUGUAGCAGUGAAAUGCGUAGAUAUGUGGAGGAAUACCAGUGGCGAAGGCGGCCUCCUGGGAUAACACUGACGCUCAUGUACGAAAGCGUGGGGAGCAAACAGGAUUAGAUACCCCGGUAGUC
This 449-nucleotide ribosomal RNA is filed under the name uncultured bacterium. Its description in RNAcentral is "partial 16S ribosomal RNA". It matches the Rfam family "Bacterial small subunit ribosomal RNA", at positions 338 to 795 of the family's 1533-position model. The record is from RNAcentral.